UAUGACCAUAUCACAUUGAAACACCACUUCCUGUAUGAUCACUGAAGUUAAGAAACAUUGAGCCUAGUCAGUACCUAGAUGGGUGACUGCAUGAGAAUACUGAG
Non-coding RNA from Acanthosepion pharaonis, 104 nucleotides. The record is from the annotation of a GenBank genome assembly. Lineage: Eukaryota; Metazoa; Mollusca; Cephalopoda; Sepiida; Sepiidae.